GAUGAAGAACGUAGCGAAAUGCGAUAAGUAAUGCGAAUUGCAGAAUUUCCGUGAGUCAUCGAAUCUUUGAACGCACAUUGCGCCCACUGGUAUUCCGGUGGGCAUGCCUGUUCGAGCGUCAUUAUCCUCCCUCAAACCUCGGGUUUGGUGUUGGACCCAAGUUGUGUGAACAACUGGUCUUAAAGACAAUGACGGCGUCCGUGGGACCCUCGAUGCAACGAGCUUUUAGGAGCACGCGUCGAGUUUCAAGGACCUUCCGGGCCGGUCUCCUUUACCAUUUUACAAGGUUGACCUCGGAUCAGGUAGGAAUACCCGCUGAACUUAAGCAUAUCAAUAAGCGGAGGA
Molecule: unclassified non-coding RNA, 345 nt
Filed under: soil metagenome
Description: partial contains 5.8S ribosomal RNA, internal transcribed spacer 2, and large subunit ribosomal RNA
Rfam family: 5.8S ribosomal RNA (bases 1-121)
Source: RNAcentral